GGACCAAACCCCUCUUGGCAACAGCAGAAGGCUAACAAGGGACAGGAGUAUCAUCAAAAUCAGAUUGAAUAUUUGGGAAAAGAACCCAAACAAACUCUUUCUCUAGGAGGUUACUACAGCACUGCAACAGACGUUGAGAGUUAUGCGUGGAAAAAAAAACAGAUUUUACAAGCAACUGGAAGCAAUUUGUUAUUUGAGUACUGCAGCAUUUGUGCAUGCAGAAAUGACAAUGAAAACCAGAUCCAGCUGUAUUUCCAUGAAUAGUCCCACAUCUCUGUAUGGAGGGAACAACCCUGCACAGCAGUAACAAACAGCCUUCAGUGCUCACAUGGGAAGACACAGCCAAUCUUUUGGAUAAUCUAAGGUCUAAGAGGAGUCACUGUACGUGUUGACACCCAGGUCAGAGGUCUGAGAAAGCACGGUCUGACCCAGAAGGUGACUGACCCCCAAAACGUUUAACAACAUUAAGCCUACUCUAUCCCACAGUAAGAGCAACCUUUAGAGAGACAGAAAGCAAAAUCCUGACAAAAAAGCACCACUAUUUCAGCUGACUGCAGCCUAUACAUCACACACAUUCCUAAUAAUAAUAAUAAUGUUAAUGAUAAUUAUGACAAUAAUAAUAACGAUAAUAAUAACAAUUAAAAACAAAUCUUCAUGCAUUUUCCUGCAAGCUUUACCCAUGAAGCAGGAAAGACAAGAGAAUACAUAAUUAAUUUGUGACUGAAGUACUGCACAGGGUAAUUCAAUUGCAACCUGGUAAAUCUACCUGUGAAAGCAGAUAAGAUUGGAACUCCAGAAGCAUUCCACCUUGAAAGAAGAAAUCUGAUAGAGAAAAGUGCUCCAGGGUUGUUUAAAGUUUAUCUACCGGCAGAAAAGCCUAAGGGGAAAGAGUGAGAAUCAGCUACAGGGAGAGCAGCAGAAGAAAGAGAAGAGAAGAAAAGAAGCGUGAAGUGCACCGUACCUCUUCUGCUGGAGUAAAUAGAUUUCAUCCAGAUGUUUAUCCCAGGAUUUUUUGCCUUGCAGCUUCUGACUCAGUUCACUCCAUAUCCGGGAAUAGAAGGGAUUGCUCUCCCCAAAUAAAGGUACCCCCAUAUCACGUCCCUUUUCCUCUCUUGCCUAGCUGCCUGAAAGCCAGCAAUCCCUA
Molecule: long non-coding RNA, 1144 nt
Organism: Passer domesticus (house sparrow)
Lineage: Eukaryota; Metazoa; Chordata; Aves; Passeriformes; Passeridae
Exons: 2
Source: RefSeq, a predicted model, not a curated record